Unclassified non-coding RNA from Aotus nancymaae (Ma's night monkey), 109 nucleotides. It matches the Rfam family "Y RNA". Rfam says of the family: Y RNAs are components of the Ro ribonucleoprotein particle (Ro RNP), in association with Ro60 and La proteins. Lineage: Eukaryota; Metazoa; Chordata; Mammalia; Primates; Aotidae. The record is from Ensembl.
GGUUGGUUCGAAGGUAAUGACUUACCUCGAUUGUUCACAGUCAGUUACAGAUCCAACUCCUUGUUCUACUCUUUCCCCUCUUCCUGAUACUGUACUUGACUAGUCUUAA